RNAcentral lists this transfer RNA (85 nucleotides) under Maricaulis salignorans. RNAcentral describes it as "tRNA_Leu_TAG". It matches the Rfam family "tRNA". From Rfam's summary of the family: Transfer RNA (tRNA) molecules are approximately 80 nucleotides in length. Lineage: Bacteria; Pseudomonadati; Pseudomonadota; Alphaproteobacteria; Maricaulales; Maricaulaceae. The record is from RNAcentral.
GCGGCUGUGGUGAAAUUGGUAGACACGCGUGGUUUAGGUCCACGUUCCGCAAGGAGUGGGGGUUCAAGUCCCUCCAGCCGCACCA